This 883-nucleotide ribosomal RNA is filed under the name uncultured bacterium. Its description in RNAcentral is "bacterial SSU rRNA". It matches the Rfam family "Bacterial small subunit ribosomal RNA", at positions 8 to 916 of the family's 1533-position model. The record is from RNAcentral.
AGAGUUUGAUCAUGGCUCAGGAUGAACGCUGGCGGCGUGCUUAACACAUGCAAGUCGGACGGGGCCCUUUCGGGGGUUCAGUGGCGGACGGGUGCGUAACACGUAGGUGACCUGCCCUGGAGUGGGGAAUAAUUCCGCGAAAGCGGGACUAAUACCGCAUAGGCUCGUAGGUUCGGUUCUACGAGUAAAGCUGCGAGGCGCUUCAGGAUGGGCCUGCGGCGGAUUAGCUGGUUGGUGGGGUAACGGCUCACCAAGGCGAUGAUCCGUAGGGGGCGUGAGAGCGUGGCCCCCCACAUUGGCACUGAGACACGGGCCAAACUCCUACGGGAGGCAGCAGUGAGGAAUAUUGCGCAAUGGGCGAAAGCCUGACGCAGCAACGCCGCGUGAGGGACGAAGGCCUUCGGGUCGUAAACCUCUUUUCUGAGGGACGAGACAAGGACGGUACCUCAGGAAUCAGUCUCGGCUAACUACGUGCCAGCAGCCGCGGUAAAACGUAGGAGGCGAGCGUUAUCCGGAUUUACUGGGCGUAAAGCGCACGCAGGUGGCACGGCAAGUCGGUUGUGAAAGCUCCUGGCUUAACUGGGAGAGGCCAAGCGAAACUGCCGAGCUUGAGGUUGGGAGAGGGGUGCGGAAUUCCCGGUGUAGCGGUGGAAUGCGUAGAUAUCGGGAGGAACACCAGUAGCGAAGGCGGCACCCUGGCCCACACCUGACGCUGAGGUGCGAAAGCGUGGGGAGUAAACAGGAUUAGAUACCCUGGUAAUCCACGCUGUAAACGAUGUCAACUGGGUGUCGGUAGUGUUACACUAUCGGUGCCGAAGCUAACGCGUUAAGUUGACCGCCUGGGGACUACGGCCGCAAGGCUAAAACUUAAAUGAAUUGACGG